This 844-nucleotide ribosomal RNA is filed under the name Anastrepha cordata. Its description in RNAcentral is "partial 16S ribosomal RNA". The record is from RNAcentral. Lineage: Eukaryota; Metazoa; Arthropoda; Insecta; Diptera; Tephritidae.
UANUUUUUUUANAAAUAAAUUUAAUUUACAAAUUUUUAAUUUUUAAUUUUUUUAGUAAAUUUAAAAAUUUAAAAAUUUGAAUAUUUUAAGGGAUAAGCUUUAAGAUAAAUUUUUAAAAAUAUAGAAUAAUUUUAUUAGAAUUGUAUGCUUAGAAUUAGCAAUCAUUUAAAAUUUUGUUAUAAAUUAUUUUAUAAAUUUAUUAUUUAAUAUGUUUUAAUUUAUUUAUAAAAAUUUUUUUAAAAAUUUAUGUUAAAUUUUAAUAAUGAUUUAAUUAGUAUAUAUUAUUGUUGUAAUAAAUUUUAUUGUAAAGUUUAUAUAAAGAACUCGGCAAAUUAAAAUUAUUACUAUACUCGCCUGUUUAACAAAAACAUGUCUUUUUGGGAUUUAUUUAAAGUCUAACCUGCCCACUGAAUUGUUUAAAUGGCCGCAGUAUUUUGACUGUGCAAAGGUAGCAUAAUCAUUAGUCUUUUAAUUGAAGGCUGGAAUGAAUGGUUGGACGAAGUAUAGGCUGUUUCAUAUAAAUUUAUUUUAGAAUUUUAUAUUUUAGUUAAAAAGCUAAAAUUUUAUUAAAAGACGAGAAGACCCUAUAAAUCUUUAUAUUUUAUAUUAUUUAAGUUUUUUAGAAUUUUUUUAUUUUUAUAGAAUAAAAUAUUUUGUUGGGGUGAUGUUAAAAUUUAAUAAACUUUUAAUUUUUAAAAUCAUUAAUUUAUGAAUUAUUGAUCCAUUAAUAUUGAUUAUUAGAUUAAGUUACUUUAGGGAUAACAGCGUAAUUUUUUUUGAGAGUUCAUAUCGACAAAAAAGUUUGCGACCUCGAUGUUGGAUUAAGAUAUAAAUUUGGGUGUAG